RNAcentral lists this unclassified non-coding RNA (27 nucleotides) under Mus musculus (house mouse). RNAcentral describes it as "oocyte_clustered_small_RNA11687". The record is from RNAcentral. Lineage: Eukaryota; Metazoa; Chordata; Mammalia; Rodentia; Muridae.
UCCUCCCAGAAGCCAAGCAGACCUGCA